RNAcentral lists this long non-coding RNA (655 nucleotides) under Mytilus galloprovincialis (Mediterranean mussel). Lineage: Eukaryota; Metazoa; Mollusca; Bivalvia; Mytilida; Mytilidae. The record is from RNAcentral.
AAAAACUGAAUCAACCCAUUAGAAUACUGUAAACAGGAAUACAUGAACGUGCUGCAACCUGACAAUUUCACGUCAGAAACUUGUCUGACUCUCCUUUCGACAAUUAUACCGGUAGAAGGGAUUUGUUGAAGACCAACAAUGACCUGAUCAACAUGUAGUGACAAUGCAACUUCAAUAGAAUAUGAUUACGCUACGUCAUUUGCGAGACAGACAUUCGACCGCAACGUCAACUGUUAAUCAAAUUGCUAAAUGCCAUUUUGCACAGCUUUAUGCCACAAAUGUUUCCCAUUAACUGAACUGCCAAAGAAUCGACUGCAGAAAAACAUUUAUAGGCUUAAAGUUUCAACUGCAUAAUUGCCAAAACCCAUUGUAAUGGGUGGACAACGGUAAAAUCAGAAGGUGAAAAACAGAACCAAAAACGUUCCGAAUAGAAUUGGUUGACCUUCAUUGGUAAGGGGAAAACCAGGGUUUCAGUGUAUAGCACAAUAUUUGAACGUUGAAAAUGACGAAAUCAAUUGAACUUUCUACCUGGCAUUUUUUUUAAACAUUGAAGUAAUGAAAGAACUUUCUGUUUAUAAGUUUGUUUACAAAAAAAUAAAUAUUUAAAAAUGGGAAUAACAAAGAAUAAUCUAGUGUUGUGUUUCUAAAGUCGGGC